GGAUGAGUAAGCAGUAACAUAGCCAAACAAUGGUUUGGUGUGAUGUGGAUGUUUAGAGGCUUAUGAUGGCAUUUUUUGAGGCUUGACAAGCAAGUGGUAGGUAGCAAUACAUAGCGAUAGAAUCGAGGCAACUAGCAUAGCAAUGAUAGUAGUGGUAUCCAAGAUAAUGAUCAUAUUGCCUGGAAUCCCGCUAGGAAGAAGACAUAAUCCAUGAAGAAGACGUACCAACAUAGUCAAACGCAUCCUCGCAGUCCGACACACUUU
Molecule: long non-coding RNA, 264 nt
Filed under: Hordeum vulgare
Lineage: Eukaryota; Viridiplantae; Streptophyta; Magnoliopsida; Poales; Poaceae
Description: long non-coding RNA (HVUL_LNC012121)
Source: RNAcentral